RNAcentral lists this unclassified non-coding RNA (268 nucleotides) under Xylariaceae sp. Its description in RNAcentral is "partial contains 5.8S ribosomal RNA, internal transcribed spacer 2, and large subunit ribosomal RNA". The record is from RNAcentral. RNAcentral also lists the same sequence under 1 other name. Lineage: Eukaryota; Fungi; Ascomycota; Sordariomycetes; Xylariales; Xylariaceae.
AACGCACAUUGCGCCCAUUAGUAUUCUAGUGGGCAUGCCUGUUCGAGCGUCAUUUCAACCCUUAAGCCCUCGUUGCUUAGCGUUGGGAGCCUACCGGGAAACUGCAGAGUUUUCUGGUAGCUCCUCGAAGACAGUGGCGGAGUCGGUCUCACACCCCAGACGUAGUAAACUUUUGUCUCGUCCGCGGUUGGGCCGGUCCCCUGCCGUAAAACCCCCCAAAUUUCUAAAGGUUGACCUCGGAUCAGGUAGGAAUACCCGCUGAACUUAA